RNAcentral lists this ribosomal RNA (746 nucleotides) under uncultured bacterium. Its description in RNAcentral is "bacterial SSU rRNA". It matches the Rfam family "Bacterial small subunit ribosomal RNA", at positions 10 to 764 of the family's 1533-position model. The record is from RNAcentral.
AAGUUGAUCAUGGCUCAGGAUGAACGCUGGCGGCGUGCUUAACACAUGCAAGUCACGGGGGCCCGAAGCGCAAGCUUUGGGUAACCGGCGAACGGGUGCGUAACACGUGAGCAACCGUACCUAAGUGAGGGGGAUAGCCGGGCCAACGCCCGGGUAAUACCGCAUACGCUCGAGGAGAGGCAUUUCAUCUCGAGGAAACCUACGGGGCACUAUGAGGGGCUCGCGGCUAUCAGCUUGUUGGUGGGGUGAUGGCUUACCAAGCGACGACGGGUAGCCGGCCUGAGAGGGCGUCCGGCCACACUGGGACUGAGACACGGCCCAGACUCCUACGGGAGGCAGCAGUGGGGAAUAUUGCGCAAUGGGCGGAAGCCUGACGCAGCGACGCCGCGUGGGGGAUGACGGCCUUCGGGUUGUAAACCUCUUUCGUCAUCGACGAAGGCCUGUGGGUGAUUCUGCGGGUUGACGGUAGGUGGAGAAGAAGCACCGGCCAACUACGUGCCAGCAGCCGCGGUAAUACGUAGGUGCGAGCGUGUCCGGAAUUAUUGGGCGUAAAGAGCUCGUAGCGGUGUGUCGCGUCGGUCGUGAAAACUUGGGGCUUAACCCUGAGCUUGCGGUCGAUACGGGCAUCACUUGAGUUCGGCAGGGAGACUGGAAUCCUGGUGUAGCGGUGAAUGCGCAGAUAUCAGAGGAACACCGGUGGCGAGGCGGGUCUCUGGGCGAUCUGACGCUGAGGAGCGAAAGCGUGG